UACGGAGGGUGCAAGCGUUAUCCGGAUUCACUGGGUUUAAAGGGUGCGUAGGCGGGCAGGUAAGUCAGUGGUGAAAUCCCCGAGCUUAACUCGGGAACUGCCAUUGAUACUAUCUGUCUUGAAUAUUGUGGAGGUAAGCGGAAUAUGUCAUGUAGCGGUGAAAUGCUUAGAUAUGACAUAGAACACCUAUUGCGAAGGCAGCUUACUACGCAUAUAUUGACGCUGAGGCACGAAAGCGUGGGGAUCAAACAGG
This 253-nucleotide ribosomal RNA is filed under the name uncultured bacterium. RNAcentral's name for it is "partial 16S ribosomal RNA". It matches the Rfam family "Bacterial small subunit ribosomal RNA", at positions 524 to 776 of the family's 1533-position model. The record is from RNAcentral.